This 95-nucleotide transfer RNA is filed under the name Chloroflexota bacterium. RNAcentral describes it as "Chloroflexi bacterium tRNA-Pro". The record is from RNAcentral. RNAcentral also lists the same sequence under 1 other name. Lineage: Bacteria; Bacillati; Chloroflexota.
GCGGAGGGUGAAGCAGAGAGGAUCUGCCGGGGUCUUGGACACCCACGGCCGGAUGCUAACCCAUCCGGUGCGGUUCGAGUCCGCCGCCCUCCGCC